AGUCUCCACCCAGCUGGGUCUCUGUCACAGAGAAACCAAAGACCACAAGACCUCCUUUGAGCUCUCUGCUGCCCCCAACCUCAGUGUGAUUGGAUGAUGACUAUGAUGUCACCAGAGAGCAUCACUUCUGAACUGAUCUGAAAAGAAGCUGAAAUCUCCGUAGAUCAGAAACAGUUCCACCGGCUGUCUUGAUAUAAUUAUGAUUUAAACAUAUUCAAUAUGAAAUCAUUGCUUUAAGUUUGAAUUGCUGCUUUACUGCCAGCAACAGCUAUCUCUGUAAUCCUGAAUAUUUUAUAUAUCAUAACAAAUAAAGCUUUUUUUCUCUGUAGUUUUUCA
This is a long non-coding RNA of Perca flavescens (yellow perch), 336 nucleotides long. RefSeq lists it as uncharacterized. The record is from RefSeq and is a predicted model, not a curated record. The transcript has 2 exons. NCBI's taxonomy places the organism in Eukaryota, Metazoa, Chordata, Actinopteri, Perciformes, Percidae.